Molecule: non-coding RNA, 30 nt
Filed under: Rattus norvegicus (Norway rat)
Lineage: Eukaryota; Metazoa; Chordata; Mammalia; Rodentia; Muridae
Source: RNAcentral
UGAGGAACAUAGAUGCUAGUUGUUCAUGGG